UGUUCGUCGCGUCUACUUUGAUGAGCGCUUACGAAUGCGUCUGAAGAUCAACUUGUAGUGGGUAUUUCCAGCGGCCUUGUCAGCGAGACCGGUGUUGGGAGGAGAGAGAAAGUUGCGCGACGGGAAAUUCACGAGCAUGCGAGAGUGCACGAUACGCGCUGGGUUUUGUAGUCGGCGCCGCGCCCGCAAGCCUCAUAGGACACGCAAUCUUGGCUGCUUUUGCUAACUGGGUUCCAGACAUGCACCGGUCAGCCUCCGGACAAUACUCGAAUUUACCAACACCUCUGACCAUAAUGUUUCACACGUGCCUCGUGUUGACAACAAUCAUCACCCUAACAUACUCACAACGAUCACUUGUCCUCCCGGUGAAGACCAUAGCCUUCCCGCGGAAUACCGACGGGCAGUGCUCUGUCCUGCACAGUUCUUACAGCAUUGGUGACAGAUCCACCUGUACUUUCGCCAGGACACGAGACAUCGAUCCUAACAGGAUUCCUCCUGUGUUGCCCAGAGUAGAGUGCAAAUGCCGUGGACAGCGAUGUUCGGACACCGGUGACUUCACCUGCCAAGAAACUAAAGAUACUUUUGAAGUAGCGUACCCCGGACAAACAGGAACAGUUGAACUGAAGUACGAGAACGUGACGCUGACAACGGGUUGCGUGUGUGCCACUUCCAGAAGUGUUAGGGCUCCUGGUGGGGGGAAUAGGCCGGUGAAUGUGAAGCCAGUCAACCUCCUGUAGCAUGAUGCACUUGGGGACAUGAUGUUACUGAGCCUUAAAGGAGCAUGGAGCACAUCCUCUUUUACAGCGUGAUAUGAACAUACUACCUUCGACAAAUAUGUCACGCAAAAUAUUUGAUAUGGGAAGUACUAAUCUCCUGAGCUCCCGCGGCUACUCCUGGCGUUCGAAAAGGUGGCUACCUAAGGGUCACGUGACGCAAUGUCAUACCCAACUCGCAGGUUACUCGAGUUGAAUAAAGACACACUCCGAUCCAGAGAGUCAUCUGCUAGCGAGAACGACCGGUCGAGUCGCGCGGCGAAAGACAGAAGGGGCGCACCUCCUUUCGGCAGUAAACUAUUUUCGGAGAAUUAAUCCAAAAUACAAAGCAUCCAAGACAGGCGCUCGUCUCCUAUUUCCAACAAGUCAGAAGAAAGAACAAUAUCAUUUUCAAAGGUGAUUGAUUAGGAACGUCAUGGUACGGCGAAUAAUAAUAAUAAUAAUAAUAAUAAUAAUAAUAAUAAUAAUAAUAAUAAUAAUAAUAAUAAUAAUAAUAAUAGUAAUAAUAAUAAUAAUAAUAAUAAUAAUAAUAAUAAUAAUAAUAAUAAUAAUAAUAAUAAGCAUUUAUAUUAGGAGUAGCAGAACAAGUCGGGAAACGACUUCAAUUUCUCCCCCUUUUUUUGUUACAAACAAGCAAACAAACAAACAAACAACACGGACCACUCAACUGAGCAGUUCGUGUCGUCUCCUUCCUGUAUUUUGCCCACAGCUGAAGCUGCUUCGAUGUGAAGUUCGUAUAGCGACUGCGUGUCCUGUCUGCUGUGCUCGUAUUGUUUUUUCGUUGCACUCUUGAAUCAUGAACUUGUCUCGCCACAACGAGCCCAAAGCAUCACAGUGCUUAGCUUCCCCCCCCCCCCCCGCUAAUUGUUCGUAAUUAUGGACUCUGUCGUCCCCGCAACACGGGAACCUUGUUUUUCAUUCGUUCAGAAGCGUUGAAUGACACAGAUGAGUUUGUAAUAAUCAUCUACGUGCACUGAAUUCAGUGCACAGCUCCCGCAUAUACAUUUCUCCGCAUAUACAUUUCCGGGGAACGUAAUGUGUAUGUGUACAUUGCCGUCACGCAUUUGCUCUGUAACUGCAUCGCUCAUGCACGUACAGCAUAAGCGUAUUCAGAAGAGUACUCGUCGUAUGUAACUUGAUGGCGAUGACUGUUCGAAGCGCACUCAGAUAGAAGAAAUCUGUUGAUUCGGAACUACCUGUGACCUGCUUCUCACUAUCCCAUCAAGUCCGCUGAACUGAACCAAAGGAUCUUUCCACUUGGAAGAUAUGGCCUCGUACAGAAUCCCGUGCAUUCUAAUUGUAACAUCCGUUGUCUUCUGGCCAGCACAGUCACAGCUAUCGUCACUAUUCAACGCGUUGUUUGGCGCUAACAACGAUGACACGCUAGUCGAUUGCUCGCCUAUGUCCAACACGGUGUUAUUAAGGAACCGUACCCUUUGUCCCUUUGACUACGUCGUGCACUCAGACCCACUGAGAUAUCCAAAGGAUCUGGUUGUUGCCCGAUGCCGUUGUCCAGGCUCGUCUUGCUCCGCUACUGGUCCUUUUCACUGUACCGAACUGCAGUACCCUAUAAGGGUACACUACAAUGUGAAAGGCAAAUGGGUGCCCGGCCAAAUGUCUGUCGCUGCAGGUUGUGUUUGUGCCUUGCCUUACAGUGCUCCAGCUGUCAAUGAGGGGUACAGAACUGUGAGCUACACGACAAACUUGACAGGUAACAAAUUGUGGUCUAAGUACGGCACGAAAAAGUCUAACCCGAUAUUAGCUUUGUAGAUAGGAAAAAGGGGGCAGCUUGACUUCCUGUUAGAAUUGUACGCGCAGAACAAUAAAACUGAUAC
This is a long non-coding RNA of Ornithodoros turicata, 2608 nucleotides long. RefSeq lists it as uncharacterized. The record is from RefSeq and is a predicted model, not a curated record. The transcript is spliced from 3 exons. Lineage: Eukaryota; Metazoa; Arthropoda; Arachnida; Ixodida; Argasidae.